CCUCAACCUACUCUGCUGGGAUAAUAACCAACACGGAACCGCAGUCCAGGCAUUGAGACGGGGAAUCAAAAAGAUUCUAGCUACUUGUAACAUCAGAGCCUACAGUUCAGUUGCUCUUCCAGUUCUUGGAACUGGCGCUCUCCUGCGUUUUCCACACAACAUUACUUCCACGAUUCUCCUGGAGGAGGUUGGUAUAUAUGGACAAAACCGCACCAGUGGAUCACCCUUCCUAGUUCGAUUCAUUGUUCAUCCAAAGGACAAACAAUCCAGCCAGGCCUUUAAGUCUUCCCAGAGUGUAUUGCAUCAAAGAGGAUUCAUAAGCAAUGUUGAUCCAGAUCAAGGUU
Molecule: long non-coding RNA, 344 nt
Organism: Fundulus heteroclitus (mummichog)
Lineage: Eukaryota; Metazoa; Chordata; Actinopteri; Cyprinodontiformes; Fundulidae
Exons: 3
Source: RefSeq, a predicted model, not a curated record